Molecule: ribosomal RNA, 2137 nt
Filed under: human gut metagenome
Description: bacterial LSU rRNA
Rfam family: Bacterial large subunit ribosomal RNA
Source: RNAcentral
UGCCGCUUGCGAGGGCGUAUGGUGGAUGCCUUGGCAGACAGUACCGAUGAAGGACGUUUGAGGAUGCGAUAAUCCUAGGGGAGCCUCCAACAUGGCUUUGAUCCUAGGGUCUCCGAAUGGGGGAACCCGCCGGCCGUCAUGGGCCGGCACCGCCUAUGGGCGGGGGGUACGCAGGGAAGUGAAACAUCUCAGUACCUGCAGGAAGGGAUACUCCGUGAGUAGUGGCGAGCGAAAGCGGAUCAGACCAAACCGGUUGCGCGUGAUACCCGUCGGGGGUUGCGUUGCCGGUGUCGUGGGAUCACGUGUCCCGGUUCCGACGGGCCGGGCGGGAGUCAUAAAACGGCUUGCCAGGGGAACAGGCUUGAAGGCCUGGCCGUAGAGGGUGCCAGCCCCGUACCUGGACGUGAGCCGUCUUCCGAUCGUGUUGUCCCAAGUAGCGCGGGCCUCGUGGAAUCCCGCGUGAAUCAGCCCAGACCGUUGGGUAAGUCUAAGCAUACCUGUCUGACCGAUAGCGUACCAGUACCGUGAGGGAAAGGUGAAAAGCACCCCGGGAGGGGAGUGAAACAGUUCCUGAAACCGUGCGCCCACAAACCGUCGGAGCCUCUGUGUGGGGUGACGGCGUGCCUAUCGAAAAAUGAGUCUGCGAGUCAGUGGCAUGUGGCGAGCAUAACCCGUGUGGGGUAUGCGUAGCGAAGGCGAGUCUUAAAAGGCGUUUGAGUCGCGUGUCCUGGACCCGAAGCGGGAUGAUCUAGCCCUGAGCAGGUUGAAGCGCGGGUAAGACCGCGUGGAGGACCGAACCCACCUGGGUUGAAAACCGGGGGGAUGACUUGGGGCUAGGGGUGAAAGGCCAAUCAAAUUCCGUGAUAGCUGGUUCUCUCCGAAAUGCAUUUAGGUGCAGCGUCGGUCGAUUGCGUCGCGGGGGUAGAGCUACCGGAUGCUUGCGGGCCCUUGUUGGGUACCAACAGCAGCCGAACUCCGAAUACCGUUGACGUGUAUUCCGGCAGUGAGUCGGCGGGGGAUAAGCUCCGUCGUCGAGAGGGAGACAGCCCAGACCGUCGUCUAAGGUCCCGAAGCGUGUGCUAAGUGGGAAAGGAUGUGGAGUCGCAUAGACAGCCAGGAGGUUGGCUCAGAAGCAGCCAUCCUUGAAAGAGUGCGUAACAGCUCACUGGUCUAGUGGUUCCGCGCCGACAAUGUAGCGGGGCUCAAGCACACCACCGAAGACGCGGCAGCAAUCUUCAUGGUUGCUGGGUAGGAGAGCGUCCUGCGAGGGGCGAAGCGGCCGGGUAACCGUGCCGUGGACUUCGUGGGAGUGAGAAUGCAGACAUGAGUAGCGAGAGACGGGUGAGGAUCCCGUCCGCUGGAUGACCAAGGGUUCCGGGGCCACGUUCGUCGUCCCCGGGUGAGUCGGGUCCUAAGGCGAGGCCGACAGGCGUAGUCGAAUGGAUGAACGGGUGGAUAUUCCCGUACCGACCAUGGACCGGCAAAACCGAGACGGUGAGUACUAACCUCCGCCUCGUGGUGGUUCCUUCCUUCGGGUUGGUUCCGCCGCGUGGUGUUGGGAGCGUAGCCGCAGUAGGUCAGCGCAGGGGUGACACGGAAUGGGAGCCGGCCGCGGAGGUGGUUUUCCGUGGUCAAGCACGCAGCCAGUCAUGUAGGCAAAUCCGCAUGGCGCGCAUGGCGAGGUGUGAUGAUGGGAGCCGUUAUGGCUCGAUAUCCGGUUGUCCAGGCCGUCGAGAAAAGCCUCGGCGUGAGGGCCAUGGCCGCCCGUACCCCAAACCGACACUGGUGGUCAGGUAGAGAAUACCAAAGCGAUCGAGCGAAUCCUGGUCAAGGAACUCGGCAAAUCACUCCCGUUCCUUCGGUUUAAGGGAGACCCCCGAUGGUGAACACACUUGCUGUGGGAGCUUUUGGGGGUGGCACAGACCAGGGGGUAGCGACUGUUUACCAAAAACACAGGUGCAUGCGAAGGCGAAAGCCGCUGUAUAUGCACUGACGCCUGCCCGGUGCCGGAAGGUUAAGAGGAGAGCUUAGCGCAAGCGAAGGUUUGAAUUUAAGCCCCAGUAAACGGCGGCCGUAACUAUAACGGUCCUAAGGUAGCGAAAUUCCUUGUCGGGUAAGUUCCGACCUGCACGAAUGG